Molecule: ribosomal RNA, 497 nt
Filed under: uncultured bacterium
Lineage: Bacteria
Description: partial 16S ribosomal RNA
Rfam family: Bacterial small subunit ribosomal RNA
Source: RNAcentral
GACGAACGCUGGCGGCGUGCCUAAUACAUGCAAGUAGAACGCUGAAGAGAGGAGCUUGCUCUUCUUGGAUGAGUUGCGAACGGGUGAGUAACGCGUAGGUAACCUGCCUUGUAGCGGGGGAUAACUAUUGGAAACGAUAGCUAAUACCGCAUAACAAUGGAUGACACAUGUCAUUUAUUUGAAAGGGGCAAUUGCUCCACUACAAGAUGGACCUGCGUUGUAUUAGCUAGUAGGUGAGGUAAUGGCUCACCUAGGCGACGAUACAUAGCCGACCUGGGAGGGUGGUCGACCACCAUGGGACUGAGACACGGCCCAGACUCCUUCGGGGGGCAGCAGUAGGGGAACUUCGGCAAUGGGGGCAACCCUGACCGAGCAACGCCGCGUGGGUGAAGGAGGUUUUCGGAUCGUAAAGCUCUGUUGUAAGUCAAGAACGGGUGUGAGAGUGGAAAGUUCACACUGUGACGGUAGCUGACCAGAAAGGGACGGCUAACUACGUG